CCUCCCGCCCACUGCCCACUCCGCCACACACUUUCCGCUGCCACCGAUGGAGAUCGGCCUCGUCGUCGCUCACCGGCCGUCUCUCCCGGUGGCGGCGGUACCGGCGCCGGCCUACCUCCGCCGCCGCCACCUUCCCGGCCUAAUCUCCCUCCCCCGCACCUCCCCCUCCCUGUUCUCCCCGCACCAUCAACGCCUCAGUCCCACGCCUCGCCAUGACCUCCUGCAGCCUCUCCGAGCCUCCCCAGCCCCUGAUUCUAGCCCCAAACCAGAGCCCCCCGCCGCCUCCGGUGCGAAGCUUGUGCCGCUCGUCAUCUCCAUCGCGGUCGGCCUCGCCGUGCGGUUCCUCGCGCCGCGGCCCGCCGAGGUGAGCCCCAACGCGUGGCAGAUG
RNAcentral lists this long non-coding RNA (388 nucleotides) under Setaria italica (foxtail millet). RNAcentral describes it as "long non-coding RNA (SITA_LNC007133)". The record is from RNAcentral. Lineage: Eukaryota; Viridiplantae; Streptophyta; Magnoliopsida; Poales; Poaceae.